UUUUUUUUUUUUUUUGUCUUUUCUAGGACCACAUCCACGGCCUAUGGAGGUUCCCAGGCCAAGCCAGGAGAUCAAUCAGAGCUGUAGCCACCAGCCUACGCCACAGCCACAGCAACUCGGGAUCCAAGCCACAUCUGUGACCUACACCACAGCUCAUGGCAACGCUGGAUCCUUAACCUACUGAGCAAGGCCAGGGAUCGAACCUGCAACCUCAUGGUUCCCAGUCAGGUUGUUUAACCACUGAGCCACGACAGACACUCCUGCUUGCCACUUUUGUGUGUAAGAACAUUUUAGUUCUACUCUUAGUGAAUUUCAACUAUAAAAAACAGUGUUAUCUACUACGGUAACCAUUCAAUACAGAGGUCCUUGACUUAAAAUGGUUGACAUGAUAUUUUGGCUUUAUAACAGUGUGAAAGUAAUAUGCAUUCAGUAGAAGCCAUAUUUUGAAUUUUGAAUUAUCUCUUUCCUGUCGAAUGAUCUUCCAUACAAUACUCUCAGGGUGCUGAGCAGUGGCAACUAGCCACAGCUUUCAGUAAGAUAUGAAAUCAUUAGGUAAAUAAUUAUUCUAUACCCAUACAACCAUUCUGUUUUUCACUUUCAAUAUGGUAGUCAAUAAAUUACAUGAGCUAUUUAAUACUUCACUAUAAAAUAGUCUUGGUUUAAAUAUUUUGUCCAACUGCCGGCUACUGCAAGUGUUCUGAAUACAUUUAAGUUAGGCUAGGCUAAAAUGUUUGGUAGGUUGGAUGUAUGAAGUAUAUUUUCAACAACGGUAUUUUUUACUUAUGAUAGGUUUAUUGAGACCUAACUCUGUAAGUCAAGGAAGUAAGUCUGUAUAUUAGAUCUUCAGAUCUUAUGCAUCCUCUAAGUGAAAAUUUGUGCUUUUUCACCAGUCAUUUCCUUUUCUGCCCACCCCUAGCAACCACUUUUAUACUCUCAGUUUCUAGGAAUUUUUUUUUUGACUCCACAUAUAAAUGGUACCAUGCAGUAUUUGUCUUCUUCUGUCUGGCUUAUUUUACUUAGCAUAAUCCUCUCCAGAUUCAUCCAUGUUGAUGCAAAUUACAGAAUUUUCUUCUUUUUUAUAUAUAAGGAAUAAGAUUCUACUAUAUACCAUUAUAUGUUAUAUGCCUCACAUUUUCUUGAUGCAUUUACCUUGACUUGACUGUUAUGGAUACUGCUGCAAUCAACAUGAAGUUCAGCUAUCUCUUGAGAUAAUUUCAUUUCCUUGGAAUUUGUAGCCAAAAGUACAAUUGCAGGUCUAUUUUUAAUUUCUUGAGAAAUCCCUGUACUGUUUUCGAUAGUGGCUGUACCAGGUCACAUUCCCAACAUUAUACAAGCAUUCCCUUGCCAGCUUGUUAUCUUGUCUUUGACAACAGCCAUUAUAACAAGUGUGAGGUGAUAUUUCAUUGUGGCCUUGUUGGUUUAGUUUUGAUUUGGUAACAAAAACUAUUUUAAUGGGGAUUUUGAAGAGACAGGGCUUUGAAAUAAGGAAUAUAAGUUAAGAAUGAGUAUGAAGUAUUGUAUUUAUUAAUUCGCUCUUGGGAUUAUCAUCUUCAUUAGGCAAGAUACAUUGUUUCUCCAAUUAUGUAAUUGACAUAUAGAAUUGCAUUAGUUUCAGAUAUAUAACAUAAUCAUUAGAUAUAGAUCUACAUUGUGAAAUGAUUAGCACAAUAAGUUUAAUGAAUAUCACUUCACGGUUAUAACUUUUGCGAUGAGAACUUUUAAUACCAACUCUGUUAGCAACUUAUUAUUAUAAGUAUUGCUUAGUAAUGAUGCUAUAUUAUAUAUUCCCAGAACUUCAUUAUUUUAUUUUAUAACUAAAAGUUUGUACCUUUUGAGAGCCUUCAGCCACUUCCUUUCUGUCACUCCCUGCCUCUGGCAACCACCAAUCUGUUCUCUGUUCCUAUGAGUUCAGUUAUAUCAGAUUCUACAUUUAAGUGGGAUCAUGCAGUAUUUGUCUUUCUCUGUCUGACUUACUUUGCUUAACAUAAUGCCCUCAAAUUCCUUUCAAUAUAGUAACAAAUGGCAGAAUUUUCUUUUCUACAACUGAAAAUUAUUCCAUUGUGUAUGUGUGUGUGUGCGUGUGUGUGUGUGUGUAUACGUUUCUUUAUCCAUUAACCCCUAGAUGGACAUGUUUUCUUUAACACAUUUUCUUUAUCCAUUAAUUCCUAGAUGAACAUUUAGGUUUUUUCCAUGUCCUGACUAACUCAAAUGAUGCUACAGUGAAUGUGGAGAUGGAGAUAUCUCUUUGAGUAGUGAUUUUAUAUCCUUUAGAUAUCUAUCCAGAAGUGAGGUUGCUGAAUAGUUCUAUUUUUAAUUUUUUAAAGGUCAAACAAUAUAAAUUUUAUGAAUUCAAAAGAGUUGUGGUGAUUUUUUAUUACUCAAUGAAUUUAUUACAAUUGUAUUUGUACAAUAAUCAUCACUAUCCAAUGUUAUAGGAUUUCCAUCCCCGACCCCAGUGCGUCCCCCCACCCCCCAAACUGUCUCCUUUGGAGACCGUAAGUUUUUCAAAGUCUGUGAGUCAGUGUCUGUUCCGCAAAGAAGCUCAUUCUAUCCUUUUUUCAGGUUCCACAUGUCAGUGAAAGCAUUUGAUGUUGGUGUCCUUUUGUGUCUCACUGACCUCACUUAGUACGAAGAUUUCUAGGUCCAUCCAUGUUGCUACAAAUGCUGGUAUUUCAUUCCUUUUAAUGGCUGCAUAAUAUUCCAUUGCGUAUAUGUACCACUUCUUCUUGACCCACUCCUCUGUCAACGGACAUUUAGGUUGUUUCCAUGUCUUUGCUAUUGUAAAUAGUGCUUCAAUGAACAUCGGAAUACAUGUGUCUUUUUGAGUCAUGGUUUUCUCUGGAUACAUGCCCAGGAGUGGGAUUGCUGGAUCAAAUGGUAGUUCUAUUUUUAGUUUUCUGAGGAAUCUCCAUACAGUUUUCCACAGUGGCUAGACCAAUUUACAUUCCCACCAACAGUGUGCUAGGGUUCCUUUUUCUCCACACCCUCUCCAGCACUUAUUGUUUGUAGACUUUUUGAUGAUGGCCAUUCUGGCUGGUGUAAGGUGGUACCUCAUAGUGAUUUUGAUUUGUAUUUCUCUAAUAAUGAGUGAUGUUGAACAUCUUUUCAUGUGUUUUUUGGCCAUGUGUAUAUCUUCCUUGGAGAAUUGUCUGUUUAGAUCUUCUGCCCAUUUUUUGAUGGGGCUGUUUUUUUUUGGUAUGGAGCUGCAGAAUGUGUUUGUAAAUUUUGGAGAUUAAUCCCUUAUCAGUCACUUCAUUUGCAAAGAUUUUCUCCUAUUCUGUGGGUUGUCUUUUAGUUUUGUUUAGGGUUUCCUUUGCUUUGCAGAAACUUUUAAGUUUGAUUAGGUCCCUUUUGUUUAUUUUUGUUUUGACUGUCAUUGCUCUAAGAGGUGGAUCUGAGAUGAGGUUGCUGUGGUUUAUGUCAGAGAGUGUUUGGCCUCUGUGUUCCUCUAAGAGUUUUGCAGUGUCUUGUCUUAUAUCUAGGUCUCUAAUCCAUUUUGAGUUUAUUUUUGUGUAUGGUAUUAGGGAGUGUUCUAAUUUCAUUCUUUUCAACAUGGCUGUCCAGUUUUCCCAGCACCACUUAUUGAACAAGCUGUCCUUUCUCCAUUGUAUAUUCUUGCCUCCUUUGUAAUAGAUUAGUUGGCUGUAGGUAUGUGAGUUGAAUUCUAGGCUUUCUCUCCUGUUCCACUGAUCGAUAUUUCUGUCUUUGUGCCAGUACCAUAUGGUUUUGAUGACUGUUGCUUUGUAAUAUAGUCUGAAGUCAGGGAGCCUGAUGCCUCCAGCUCCAUUUUCUUUUUCAGGUUGUCUUUGGCUAUUCUGGGUCUUUUGUGCUUCCAAACAAACUUUAAAAUAUUUUGAGUUCUGUGAAAAAUGUCCUUGGUAAUUUGAUAGGAAUUGCAUUGAAUCUAUAGAUUGCCUUGGGUAGUACAGUCAUUUUGAUAAUAUUAACUCUUCCAAUCCGAGAGUAUGGUAUGUCUUUCCAUCUAUUUGUGUCACCUUUGAUUUCUUUCAUCAGUGUCUUAUAGUUUACAGAGUACAGGUCUUUUGACUCUUUGGGUAGGUUUACUCCUAGGUAUUUUAUUCUUUUGGAUGCAAUGGUCAACGGGAUUGCUUCCCUAAUUUCUCUUUCUGAUCUUUCAUUGUUAGUGUGUAGAAAUGCCAUCAAUGUCUGUGUGUUAAUUUUGUUUGUGCUAUGCCCACUUUCUGAAGGGGUUUUAUCAGAAAUGGGUGUUGGAUUUUGUCAAAGGCUUUUUCUGUGUCUCUUGAGAGGAUCAUAUGGUUUUUAUUCUUUGGUUUGUUAAUGUGGUAUAUCACACUGAUUGAUUUGUGGAUAUUGAAGAACCCUUGUAUCCCUGGGAUAAAUCCCACUUGAUCAUAAUGUGCAAUCCUUUUACUGUAUUGUAUGUGGUU
RNAcentral lists this long non-coding RNA (4409 nucleotides) under Sus scrofa (pig). RNAcentral describes it as "lncRNA (ENSSSCG00030026836.1)". Lineage: Eukaryota; Metazoa; Chordata; Mammalia; Artiodactyla; Suidae. The record is from RNAcentral.